Alligator sinensis (Chinese alligator) is the source of this 1650-nucleotide long non-coding RNA. RefSeq lists it as uncharacterized. NCBI's taxonomy places the organism in Eukaryota, Metazoa, Chordata, Crocodylia, Alligatoridae. The transcript is spliced from 2 exons. The record is from RefSeq and is a predicted model, not a curated record.
GGCAGCAGGAGCGGGGCUUCCAGCGGCGUCGGAGGGGUUCAGGCGCACUCGCCUCAUCUCCCACGUUCAGCUUCCCCCGGCCCACCGAGGGGCGGGCAGGAGCCCCGUGCCCUCCCCGGGGCCUGUCCUUGCAGCCCUGCGCUUGUCCGGCAAAGCUUCCUGAGAGAAAGUUACGGAGAGCGCGGGGGGGGGGGGGGGGUCUGGCCCCCCUGCCUGGCUCGGAGAGGCACCGCCAAGCGUGCACCCGGCAUUUCUCGCAGGCGCGCGUGUGUUCAGCCUUGUGCCGGUAAACAGGCUCUACAACGAAGUCCUGCUCCCCCUGGGUCUCUUCCCCCAGUGCCUCUGGCUGCCUCCUUGUUGCUGCCAGUGACUUUUUGGAGGAAAACCUCCCCACAUUUAUUUUCAGAGCAAUUAUGCCUACCCGCCGAAAACCUGCGAGAAACACCUGCGACUCCUGAGCUCCUCAAACUUGACAGGCUGGAGAAUGAAGAGGGAAAGCUUUCCCCCACCCGCGCAAGUUAUUGAAAAACAUGCACCAUCAGGGACGAUCCUUCCUUUUCUGUGUCCUUGUGAUAAGAUGAACUGCCUGCUUCCCCUCAACACCCAGCUCAGUCAAGUGGAUAGAAGCCACAUCCAAGGCACCAGGAAUAAGCCAUUGCUUGCGUCUUGCCCUUCUGGCUCCAGUGAAUUGCCAACACAUGGAAAGGAUAAUACCCAACUUUGUUCCUCCUGCAAGCCUGACCAAAGGAAGGAGGAACAAACAUGCUUAGGCAUGCUGACAGACUUGAGGCUGCUGUUCAGUGCCCUAGUUGGCAGCAUUGUUUGGACAGUACAAGAAGGGAAGAGAGAGAGCCAACAGGUGGAGAUAUGAAUGCUACAGCCAUCCUCUAAUGGUCUUUGCAGCUUUGUUUGCUUGUUCCUCCACAGUGAUUAUGGCAUAUAAACAGAUACAAUCAAGCCCACACCCCAUGUGCUAUGGUAGGUGACUUCCUUUAACUAGUGGUUGCUGCACUGACUGUUCAGCAAUACAGCAGGUCUUUCUGACCCAUGUCAGCAAGUCAGUUAUACAUGGGCAUAAUCUCAUCCCUAUUUCACAAAAUACUUAAGUGCUUGCUUAAGUUUAAGCAUACACUUAAAUCUCAUUAACCUCAAUGGGAUUGAAACAGGCGCUUAAUUACUUCACUGCGUAGGGGCUAGGAUUGUCCUCAUGAAUGAAGUCAAACACAGGCCUCGAUUGGAAACCCACACAAGUUGCUCUAUAAGAAACUACUGCAAUCAUCAGGAAGUGAGUUGAGUGUAUUCCCUCAAGAAUAACAGGCAUUUGAAGUACAAGAGGCUCUAGACUAGGGGAGGGCAAUUAUUUUGGGAAGAGGGCCGCUUACUGAGUUUUGGCAAGCCAUCGAGGGCCGCAUGAUAGGCAGCCAGGAGCAGAUAAAAACUAAUUUUCUGAACUUUUUAGGGGCCCCGCAGGCCAGAUAGAACGGCCUGGCGGGCCACAUCCAGCCCCUGGGCCACAUUUUGCCCACCCCUGCUCUAGACAGAGAAGUUUACACAUCUGAAAUGCAUGUUUGGCAUGCAAGGCUCUGCUGCCAAACAAAAAAAGUCUUCACAAGAGCUCCCCCUGGCUACUGGAUGGGAAAAAAAAAAAAG